Molecule: ribosomal RNA, 789 nt
Filed under: uncultured bacterium
Lineage: Bacteria
Description: bacterial SSU rRNA
Rfam family: Bacterial small subunit ribosomal RNA
Source: RNAcentral
AAACGAUAUUGGAAGCUUGCUUCCGAUAGGCGUCGACCGGCGCACGGGUGAGUAACGCGUAUCCAACCUGCCCAUCACUUGGGGAUAACCUUGCGAAAGUAAGACUAAUACCCAAUGAUAUCUCUAGAAGACAUCUGAAGGAGAUUAAAGAUUUAUCGGUGAUGGAUGGGGAUGCGUCUGAUUAGCUUGUUGGCGGGGUAACGGCCCACCAAGGCGACGAUCAGUAGGGGUUCUGAGAGGAAGGUCCCCCACAUUGGAACUGAGACACGGUCCAAACUCCUACGGGAGGCAGCAGUGAGGAAUAUUGGUCAAUGGACGAGAGUCUGAACCAGCCAAGUAGCGUGCAGGAUGACGGCCCUAUGGGUUGUAAACUGCUUUUAUAAGGGAAUAAAGUGAGAGUCGUGACUCUUUUUGCAUGUACCUUAUGAAUAAGGACCGGCUAAUUCCGUGCCAGCAGCCGCGGUAAUACGGAAGGUCCGGGCGUUAUCCGGAUUUAUUGGGUUUAAAGGGAGCGUAGGCCGGAGAUUAAGCGUGUUGUGAAAUGUAGAUGCUCAACAUCUGCACUGCAGCGCGAACUGGUUUCCUUGAGUACGCACAAAGUGGGCGGAAUUCGUGGUGUAGCGGUGAAAUGCUUAGAUAUCACGAAGAACUCCGAUUGCGAAGGCAGCUCACUGGAGCGCAACUGACGCUGAAGCUCGAAAGUGCGGGUAUCGAACAGGAUUAGAUACCCUGSUAGUCCGCACGGUAAACGAUGGAUGGCCCGCUGKUGGUCUGAAUAGGUCAGCGGCC